UUAUAAAUUGGUCAUAAGUGUGUGAAUUAGUGAAAAUUUGGAGUUUCCAUAGCAGAGAAAAAUGUUCAGCAUGUCUUAAACCUUAUAGAAAUUGAAUAAAAAAUUAUUUUACGAGCCUGGGGUAAAAGUGUAAUUUUUGAAAAGUUAGGGGGCAUAAUUGUAAAUUUUCCAAAUUUUGAUAUAUGAAUUGAAUUGGUUAGUGUGUU
Molecule: long non-coding RNA, 206 nt
Filed under: Gossypium barbadense (sea-island cotton)
Lineage: Eukaryota; Viridiplantae; Streptophyta; Magnoliopsida; Malvales; Malvaceae
Description: long non-coding RNA (GBAR_LNC004240)
Source: RNAcentral